Molecule: long non-coding RNA, 303 nt
Organism: Gallus gallus (chicken)
Lineage: Eukaryota; Metazoa; Chordata; Aves; Galliformes; Phasianidae
Source: Ensembl
AGAUUGAGAGUCCGUCCUUUCUGCACAAUUUCCAUGCUGGUUAUUUCAUAGCAAAGUAAAUACAGUGGUCAGGAUGAUGACUGACACCUGAUCCAAGACAAUGGGACCCUUCUGAACUCUGCUGUCUUUGAACAACACAUGAAAUACGAAGGAAACUAUUUACCAGCCAGUAAUUGCAAGCCACCCCUCAUGUAAAGUUUGCAAUGCCUCACUUAUGCCAAACUCCUAUCUCCAAAUCAGAAGAUUAAACGGCAACGGCAGCUCAGAUCCUCAGCAUCUUACGCGCAUACCUACAAAGGCUCC